GGGGGGGCAAGCGUUGUUCGGAUUUACUGGGCGUAAAGGGCUCGUAGGCGGCCACCUAAGUCGAUUGUGAAAUCCCUCGGCUCAACCGGGGAACUGCGACCGAUACUGGGUGGCUUGAAGCCGGGAGAGGGAUGCGGAAUUCCAGGUGUAGCGGUGAAAUGCGUAGAUAUCUGGAGGAACACCCGUGGCGAAGGCGGCAUCCUGGACCGGCCUUGACGCUGAGGAGCGAAAGCUAGGGGAGCGAACGGGAUUAGAUACCCCGGGUAGUCCUAGCCCUAAACGAUGAAUGCUUGGUGUGGCGGGUAUCGAUCCCCUGCCGUGCCGUAGCUAACGCGUUAAGCAUUCCGCCUGGGGAGUACGGUCGCAAGGCUG
Molecule: ribosomal RNA, 372 nt
Filed under: uncultured organism
Description: partial 16S ribosomal RNA
Rfam family: Bacterial small subunit ribosomal RNA
Source: RNAcentral